CACUUCCAUGUGCUCGCGACCAGGACCACGCGCUCAGGGGAGCGCUCGGGAUACGGCGCGUGACGUCACGGCGAGACUGGGAAAGCCGGUCGCAAAAAAGAAAUCGGCGCAAUAUCAACGAUCAUACAGAUGGACAGAUUGGCACCAAUUAACUCCAGGAAGGAAGCAAUUAAAGGAAUCAGAUGGGUACCGCAGUUGGAUGGAGUUGCCCUCCUCUCCUGUGAUGGGGAGUGGGGGGUGUUGGGGGGGAUUGAACGGGCUCGGGGCGCCCUCUGCUGGUCAAAGUGCUCAUCGGUCAUCAGUGGGCUGGAGCCAGGUCCUGCAGAGCUCAACCGCCACCUGUUUAAAUAAAGGAUUAACUAACUGACAACGUUUAGAAAAAUAACAAAACAUGUGUGAACCUGCAACAUUACUGUUUUUCUCUGGAGAAAACGGCGAUUGUAUACUUAAGAUUGUACUUAAUCCCAUAAAAAGUGAAUUUAUGUUACAUUAAAAUGUUUUUAUUAUUAUUUA
Molecule: long non-coding RNA, 513 nt
Organism: Cyclopterus lumpus (lumpfish)
Lineage: Eukaryota; Metazoa; Chordata; Actinopteri; Perciformes; Cyclopteridae
Exons: 3
Source: RefSeq, a predicted model, not a curated record